GGUCGCCUACGGGAGGCAGCAGUAGGGAAUAUUGCGCAAUGGGGGAAACCCUGAUGCAGCAACGCCGCGUGAAGGAAGACGGUUUUCGGAUUGUAAACUUCUGUUCUUAGUGAAGAAAAAUGACGGUAGCUAAGGAGCAAGCCACGGCUAACUACGUGCCAGCAGCCGCGGUAAUACGUAGGUGGCAAGCGUUGUCCGGAAUUACUGGGUGUAAAGGGAGCGCAGGCGGGAAGCCAAGUCAGCUGUGAAAACUACGGGCUUAACUUGUAGACUGCAGUUGAAACUGUGUUUCUUUAGUGAAGUAG
Molecule: ribosomal RNA, 305 nt
Filed under: uncultured bacterium
Lineage: Bacteria
Description: bacterial SSU rRNA
Rfam family: Bacterial small subunit ribosomal RNA
Source: RNAcentral